UUUCACUAUUCUUCAAGUCCGCUCUUUUCAAACUCUCUGAGUCCUCUCCGUUGUCCCUCAAAACCCCCUCAAAUCUCUAUUCCAUUGUGAUUUUCUGAGUGCAUUGAGUGCCAUAGCUCUCAAAUCAAAGUUUGCUAUUGCUAAGCACCGUAGGAACUCCCGUUCAAUUGAGAAGAGGGCAAAACAUCGGCAAAAAGUGUCCGAAGGGCAUCCCCACUCUCCUUCUCAUCCUCCUCAACUAUUCAUGGCAACAAGAGUAGUCACC
RNAcentral lists this long non-coding RNA (265 nucleotides) under Elaeis guineensis (African oil palm). Its description in RNAcentral is "long non-coding RNA (EGUI_LNC037050)". Lineage: Eukaryota; Viridiplantae; Streptophyta; Magnoliopsida; Arecales; Arecaceae. The record is from RNAcentral.